Molecule: long non-coding RNA, 708 nt
Organism: Pistacia vera
Lineage: Eukaryota; Viridiplantae; Streptophyta; Magnoliopsida; Sapindales; Anacardiaceae
Exons: 4
Source: RefSeq, a predicted model, not a curated record
UCUCCCCACUCUUUGCAACUGAAGCGAUUGAUAAUGGGAGUGGUUUGAAUACAUGAAAACUCUGUCGACUGGUGACUGGCGACUUAGGGUUGGCGACUGAUGACGACGAUUGAGAAAAAGGUUUGAAAGCAGUGAGCGACGAGCUGCAAUUGGCUACGACGAGGAGUGAGAAAAAAAAUACAUACGACGACGACUGAGCCGAAAGCCGUGGGUUAAUUCCAUUGGUGCCAAGGUCUUAGAAUUAAAUGUCACGAAAGUGCAUGACAAAGAAACUGGGAUCACUCAACGCCGUCUUUCGAAUGGAAUUUCUAUUAGUUAUAAGAUUUCAAAAAAUAAAGCUCAAGGAGGUGUUAUGCUGUUAUUGUUGGCGGUGGGUGAGCAGCUGAAAGUUCUGAGUCGAGAGGAGUUGUUGGUAUGUGUGUUUGAACUAUCAGGGAGGGUGGUCGUGUGGGCAACUUUCAAGGGAACAGAUACGCUAUGACAAAGACAAAUUGGAGAUGGUUUCUUGGUGGAAGAGCAAAAGGAUAGUGAAGAAUAUUUUAAAGAUCCAGAAAGCAAAGGAAAAGCAAACUUCAAGGAGCUAGAAAGUGGGUAGGUGAAAGCAAAACUUUCUGGAUUUUGGGAAAUCAAUGAGAAACUGGAAAACCUGAUUUUUUUGUAUUGAAUUCCUUAUUUUUAUUGAGUUUGAAUUUUAAAAAUCCUUUUUAU